UUUGGGGAAAAAAAGUCAGUUUCGGCCAAGGGCAUCCUGAAUUUUCGGUUUCAGCCCAGAAUUCUCAUUUCGGUGCAUUCCUGGUUUUGGGUUUUUAGAGCACUGGGCUAGUUUUGCGCUUGGGUACAACCUGUAUAGUCAUGAUGGAUUGCACCCAAACGGAAGAGCAGUGGUGUAUCCUGGUUUUUUGCUGCCCUAGGCAGGACAAAACUCAGGCGCCCCCCUGCCCCCGUGCCACCCCCACCCAACCCUUCCCCCCGCCCCACCUUCUAAAUACACACACAGUCAGACACAAACACACACACACAGUCAGACACAUACACACACACACAGUUAGACACAUACACAAACACACACAGUCAGACACAUACACAGACACAAACACACAGUCAGACACAUACACAGACACA
Non-coding RNA from Pelobates cultripes (western spadefoot toad), 410 nucleotides. NCBI's taxonomy places the organism in Eukaryota, Metazoa, Chordata, Amphibia, Anura, Pelobatidae. The record is from the annotation of a GenBank genome assembly.